This 270-nucleotide ribosomal RNA is filed under the name Triticum aestivum (bread wheat). RNAcentral's name for it is "partial small subunit ribosomal RNA". The record is from RNAcentral. Lineage: Eukaryota; Viridiplantae; Streptophyta; Magnoliopsida; Poales; Poaceae.
AUGGAGAUGGCCCCUGCUGCGACCUCCGCAAGGCCGGCGGUGAGGACGAGCGAGGAUGGAGCGCUUGCACCUGAGAGCCCCGCGGCAAGGGCGAAGGGCACGGUAAGGCCGUCGGACACGCCCAUGAUGACGUCCCGCACCACCUCCUCGGCUGUGAAGUGAUGCUCCUUGUGGCUGCUGAUCAGCUCCUUCUCCAACAUCGGCUGCUCCCGUCCCUCGCUGGCGCCGUCCAUUGCCUUGAUUGCUGGAGCUAGUGAAAGGGCUGGCUAG